AAAGUCCUGCGGUGUACGUUUCGGCUUAGUCGUUGUUUUGAACCAAUGGCUGUUUCAAGGGAGUUCUAUAUUGGAACGAGGCUGUCAUGCCCUCGAAAAGGGACUUCAAAUUCGUUCCUGCGGACACCCACCUGCGAGUGCGGGUUCAGAAACAUGCAGGUCGGACGGCAUUUGCGGGGUUUCA
RNAcentral lists this non-coding RNA (184 nucleotides) under Paenibacillus cisolokensis. RNAcentral's name for it is "6S RNA". It matches the Rfam family "6S / SsrS RNA". Rfam says of the family: E. coli 6S RNA was the first non coding RNA to be sequenced, but its function was unknown until recently. It consists of 184 nucleotides that fold into an extended hairpin structure with a large single-stranded internal bulge. The record is from RNAcentral. RNAcentral also lists the same sequence under 1 other name. Lineage: Bacteria; Bacillati; Bacillota; Bacilli; Caryophanales; Paenibacillaceae.